UCCGAGUUGACCCCGGCGGUCUCCCGUGAGUCCCCAGCACCACAAGGGCCUGCUGGCAACACGGGACAAGGGUUGCGCUCGUUGCGGGACUUAACCCAACAUCUCACGACACGAGCUGACGACAGCCAUGCACCACCUGUACACCGACCACAAGGGGGACCCUGUCUCCAGGGUUUUCCGGUGUAUGUCAAGCCUUGGUAAGGUGGGGAUGACGUUACGGUCUUACU
This 227-nucleotide unclassified non-coding RNA is filed under the name uncultured Actinomycetes bacterium. Its description in RNAcentral is "uncultured actinobacterium contains 16S-23S intergenic spacer region". The record is from RNAcentral. Lineage: Bacteria; Bacillati; Actinomycetota; Actinomycetes.